UUCCAACGCUGGGCACUUUCUGAGAG
Molecule: non-coding RNA, 26 nt
Filed under: Mus musculus (house mouse)
Lineage: Eukaryota; Metazoa; Chordata; Mammalia; Rodentia; Muridae
Source: RNAcentral